This 483-nucleotide ribosomal RNA is filed under the name uncultured bacterium. RNAcentral's name for it is "partial 16S ribosomal RNA". It matches the Rfam family "Bacterial small subunit ribosomal RNA", at positions 28 to 507 of the family's 1533-position model. The record is from RNAcentral.
GACGAACGCUGGCGGCGUGCUUAACACAUGCAAGUCGAACGCUGAAGCUCAGCUUUUGUUGGGUGGAUGAGUGGCGAACGGGUGAGUAACACGUGAGUAACCUGCCUCCUUCUUUGGGAUAACGCCCGGAAACGGGUGCUAAUACUGGAUAUUCACUGGUCUUCGCAUGGGGGUUGGUGGAAAGGGUUUUUCUGGUGGGGGAUGGGCUCGCGGCCUAUCAGCUUGUUGGUGGGGUGAUGGCCUACCAAGGCUUUGACGGGUAGCCGGCCUGAGAGGGUGACCGGUCACAUUGGGACUGAGAUACGGCCCAGACUCCUACGGGAGGCAGCAGUGGGGAAUAAUGCACAAUGGGCGCAAGCCUGAUGCAGCGACGCCGCGUGAGGGAUGGAGGCCUUCGGGUUGUGAACCUCUUUCGCUCAUGGUCAAGCCGCAACAAUGGUUGUGGUGAGGGUAGUGGGUAAAGAAGCGCCGGCUAACUACGUG